This 915-nucleotide ribosomal RNA is filed under the name uncultured archaeon. RNAcentral's name for it is "bacterial SSU rRNA". It matches the Rfam family "Archaeal small subunit ribosomal RNA", at positions 1 to 922 of the family's 1478-position model. The record is from RNAcentral.
UUCCGGUUGAUCCUGCCGGAGGUCACUGCUAUUGGGAUUCGACUAAGCCAUGCGAGUCGAGAGGGUUCGGCCCUCGGCAGACUGCUCAGUAACACGUGGAUAAUCUGCCCUUAGGUGGAGGAUAACCUCGGGAAACUGAGAAUAAUACUCCAUAGAUCUAGGAUGCUGGAAUGCACUUAGAUUGAAAGUUCCGGCGCCUAAGGAUGAGUCUGCGGACUAUCAGGUAGUAGUCAGGGUAAAGGCCUGACUAGCCUACGACGGAUACGGGUUGUGAGAGCAAUAACCCGGAGACGAUAUCUGAGACACGAUAUCGGGCCCUACGGGGCGCAGCAGGCGCGAAACCUUCACAAUGUGCGAAAGCGCGAUGAGGGGAUCCCAAGUGCUUGCUCGUAAGAGUAAGCUGUUUUUAUGUCUAAAACGCAUAGAGAGUAAGGGCUGGGUAAGACGGGUGCCAGCCGCCGCGGUAAUACCUGCAGCUCAAGUGGUGACCGCUAUUAUUGGGCCUAAAACAUUCGUAGCCGGUUUGGUAAAUGCCUGGGUAAAUCGUGUAGCUUAACUAUACGAAUUCCGGGUAGACUGCCAAACUUGAGACCGGGAGAAGCUAGAGGUACUCCUUGGGUAGAGGUGAAAUUCUGUAAUCCUAGGGGGACCACCAGUGGCGAAGGCGUCUAGCUAGAACGGGUUUGACGGUGAGGAAUGAAGCCCUGGGGCGCAAACCGGAUUAGAUACCCGGGUAGUCCAGGGUGUAAACGCUGCUUGCUUGAUGUUAGUUGGGCUCCGAGCCCAAUUAGUGUCGGAGAGAAGUUGUUAAGCAAGCUGCCUGGGAAGUACGAUCGCAAGAUUGAAACUUAAAGGAAUUGGCGGGGGAGCACAGCAACGGGUGGAGCGUGCGGUUUAAUUGGAUUCAACGCCGGG